GGUGUAUAAUAUGCCGACAAUUACAGGAAAAGAGCCAAAUAUGUGCUACUUCUUUUCACAAAAUACCAUAAGAUCCUGCGAUACGAGCAGUGUGGCUAGAAAAUUUCGCCAUAUCUGAAUAUGAUUUUUCAAAGGAUAAUUAUGUCUGUCGAAGCAUUUCCGUGCUACAGAUAUUAAGGUAACAGUAACUGGAAAACGAUGUCUCACACAUGGAGCUGUGCCUAUUAAUACAACAUUUGGAAGGUAAUACGUUUUAGCACAGUGUUGAUGAAAUGGUUGUGCCGUCUCAAAGGUUCCCUCUUCGAGAAAUUGCCAGUGAAGGAAAUUUUAUAGAUGUUGCUAUAAAACAUCUUCAAUCACAUGUUGUCCCUGUUCCAUAAGAGACGAGCUGUCAAUGUUGUGAGCUCAAAAUUCAGCUUAUUUUUGUUGCGUACAUUUAAAACAUGCUUAUUUUCCCAUACGAUUAAAUGUUGUUCAAUGUAAAUUCAUUUUUCCGUUACUUUUAGUACAAAUAUGUUUUGUUUUCUUUGCAUUGUUUAUAUUCCAGCAGAUUUUAAUUAAAUAUAUUUUUGCUCCUUU
Long non-coding RNA from Anoplophora glabripennis (Asian longhorned beetle), 579 nucleotides. RefSeq lists it as uncharacterized. Lineage: Eukaryota; Metazoa; Arthropoda; Insecta; Coleoptera; Cerambycidae. The record is from RefSeq and is a predicted model, not a curated record. The transcript has 2 exons.